This is a long non-coding RNA of Hemiscyllium ocellatum (epaulette shark), 253 nucleotides long. RefSeq lists it as uncharacterized. The transcript is spliced from 3 exons. Lineage: Eukaryota; Metazoa; Chordata; Chondrichthyes; Orectolobiformes; Hemiscylliidae. The record is from RefSeq and is a predicted model, not a curated record.
GAGAGGUGGAGAGGGAGAUCUGGAGCCUUCAGUAAAUCCUGCAGCCGGUUCUCAGGAAGGUGCUGACUCAAUAGACUUCCCAAUUGCUAGGUGUCUCGUCCAACACCUCUUUGAAGAUGAUUGGUCAGCCAGAGAGACAAAGGAUAGGGAGAUGUGGAGCCUUCAAUAAAUCCUGCAGUGAAGUUGCAUUGGGACAUUGACAGGACGCAGAGCUGGGCUGGAAGUGGCAGAUGGAGUCCAAUCUGGAAAAGUG